Molecule: long non-coding RNA, 172 nt
Organism: Dermochelys coriacea (leatherback sea turtle)
Lineage: Eukaryota; Metazoa; Chordata; Testudines; Dermochelyidae
Exons: 3
Source: RefSeq, a predicted model, not a curated record
AAUUGACUGAGGGGUCCUGGUUGUACCCAAAAGCUCUGUUUUAGACUGUGUUCCUAUUGUCCAAUAAACCUUCCAUUUAACUGGCUGGCUGAGAGUCAUGGUGAAUCCCAGGAACAGGGGUACAGGGCCCGGACUCCCGCACACUCCGUGACACUCUACAAAUGCUCAUGUA